UCCGUAGUGAACCUGCGGAAGGAUCAUU
RNAcentral lists this ribosomal RNA (28 nucleotides) under Monilinia jezoensis. RNAcentral describes it as "partial 18S rRNA". The record is from RNAcentral. Lineage: Eukaryota; Fungi; Ascomycota; Leotiomycetes; Helotiales; Sclerotiniaceae.